RNAcentral lists this ribosomal RNA (50 nucleotides) under Penicillium sp. IB34G1. RNAcentral describes it as "partial 28S ribosomal RNA". The record is from RNAcentral. Lineage: Eukaryota; Fungi; Ascomycota; Eurotiomycetes; Eurotiales; Aspergillaceae. RNAcentral also lists the same sequence under 4 other names.
UUUUUAUCCAGGUUGACCUCGGAUCAGGUAGGGAUACCCGCUGAACUUAA